GUAGGUGGCAAGCGUUGUCCCGGAAUUAUUGGGCGUUAAAGCGCGCGCAGGCGGGUUCUUUAAGUCUGAUGUGAAAGCCCACGGGCUCAACCGUGGAGGGUCAUUGGAAACUGGAGAACUUGAGUACAGAAGAGGAAAGCGGAAUUCCACGUGUAGCGGUGAAAUGCGUAGAGAUGUGGAGGAACACCAGUGGCGAAGGCGGCUUUCUGGUCUGUAACUGACGCUGAGGCGCGAAAGCGUGGGGAGCAAACAGGAUUAGAUACCCUGGUAGUCCACGCCGUAAACGAUGAGUGCUAAGUGUUAGGGGGUUUCCGCCCCUUAGUGCUGCAGCUAACGCAUUAAGCACUCCGCCUGGGGAGUACGGCCGCAAGGCUG
This 375-nucleotide ribosomal RNA is filed under the name uncultured organism. RNAcentral's name for it is "partial 16S ribosomal RNA". It matches the Rfam family "Bacterial small subunit ribosomal RNA", at positions 527 to 896 of the family's 1533-position model. The record is from RNAcentral.